RNAcentral lists this ribosomal RNA (489 nucleotides) under uncultured bacterium. RNAcentral's name for it is "partial 16S ribosomal RNA". It matches the Rfam family "Bacterial small subunit ribosomal RNA", at positions 30 to 506 of the family's 1533-position model. The record is from RNAcentral.
AUUGAACGCUGGCGGCAGGCCUAACACAUGCAAGUCGAACGGUAACAGGAAGCAGCUUGCUGCUUUCCUGACGAGUGGCGGACGUGUGAGUAAUGUCUGUGAAACUGCGCGAUGGAGGGGGAUAACUACUGGAAACGGUUGCUAAUAACGUACAACGUCGCAAGAUCAAAGAGGGUGACCCUAGGGGCUCUUGCCUUCGGAUGGGCCCAGAUGGGUUUUUCUGGUAGUUGGGGCAACGGCUCACCACGGUGACGAUCCCUAGCUGGUUUGAGAGGAUGACAAGCACAACUGAACCGAAGAACCGGUCCAGACUCCUACGGAAGGCGGCAGUGGGAAAUAUUGAACAAUGGGGGAAAGCCUGACGCAGCCAGGCCGCGUGUAUGAAGAAGGCCUUCGGGUUGUAAAGUACUUUCAGCGGGGAGAAAGGGAGUAAAGUUAAUACCUUUGCUCAUUGACGUUACCAGCAGAAGAAGAACCGGCUAACUCCGG